CCUACGGGGGGCAGCAGUGGGGAAUCUUGCGCAAUGGACGAAAGUCUGACGCAGCCAUGCCGCGUGAAUGAUGAAGGUCUUAGGAUUGUAAAGUUCUUUAGCCUGUGACGAUGAUGACGGUAACAGGAGAAUAAGCCCCGGCUAACUUCGUGCCAGCAGCCGCGGUAAUACGAAGGGGGCUAGCGUUGUUCGGAAUUACUGGGCGUAAAGCGCGCGUAGGCGGUUAUGCAAGCCAGAGGUGAAAUGCCUGAGCUCAACUUAGGAAUUGCCUUUGGAACUG
RNAcentral lists this ribosomal RNA (280 nucleotides) under uncultured Pseudomonadota bacterium. RNAcentral describes it as "uncultured proteobacterium partial 16S ribosomal RNA". It matches the Rfam family "Bacterial small subunit ribosomal RNA", at positions 338 to 635 of the family's 1533-position model. Lineage: Bacteria; Pseudomonadati; Pseudomonadota. The record is from RNAcentral.